UACGUAGGGAGCAAGCGUUGUCCGGAAUCACUGGGCGUAAAGCGCACGUAGGCGGAUUGUUAAGUCAGGGGUGAAAUCCUGGAGCUCAACUCCAGAACUGCCUUUGAUACUGGCAAGCUUGGAGUCCGGGAGAGGUGAGUGGAACUGCGAGUGUAGAGGUGAAAUUCGUAGAUAUUCGCAAGAACACCAGUGGCGAAGGCGGCUCACUGGCCCGGUACUGACGCUGAGGUGCGAAAGCGUGGGGAGCAAACAGG
Molecule: ribosomal RNA, 254 nt
Filed under: uncultured bacterium
Lineage: Bacteria
Description: partial 16S ribosomal RNA
Rfam family: Bacterial small subunit ribosomal RNA
Source: RNAcentral